This 468-nucleotide ribosomal RNA is filed under the name uncultured bacterium. Its description in RNAcentral is "partial 16S ribosomal RNA". It matches the Rfam family "Bacterial small subunit ribosomal RNA", at positions 28 to 507 of the family's 1533-position model. The record is from RNAcentral.
GACGAACGCUGGCGGCGUGCUUAACACAUGCAAGUCGAACGGAAAGGCCCUGCUUUUGUGGGGUGCUCGAGUGGCGAACGGGUGAGUAACACGUGAGUAACCUGCCCUUGACUUUGGGAUAACUUCAGGAAACUGGGGCUAAUACCGGAUAGGAGCUCCUGCUGCAUGGUGGGGGUUGGAAAGUUUCGGCGGUUGGGGAUGGACUCGCGGCUUAUCAGCUUGUUGGUGGGGUAGUGGCUUACCAAGGCUUUGACGGAUAGCCGGCCUGAGAGGGUGAACGGGCACAUUGGGACUGAGAGACGGACCAGACGCGUACGGGAGGCAGCAGUGGGGAAUAUUGCACAAUGGGCGGAAGCGUGAUGAAGCAACGCCGCGUGCGGGAUGACGGCCUUCGGGUUGUAAACCGCUUUAGCCUGUGACGAAGCGUGAGUGACGGUAAUGGGUAAAGAAGCACCGGCUAACUACGUG